Molecule: ribosomal RNA, 665 nt
Filed under: uncultured fungus
Lineage: Eukaryota; Fungi
Description: eukaryotic LSU rRNA
Rfam family: Eukaryotic large subunit ribosomal RNA
Source: RNAcentral
CCCGCUGAACUUAAGCAUAUCAAUAAGCGGAGGAAAAGAAACUAACAAGGAUUCCCCUAGUAACGGCGAGUGAAGCGGGAAGAGCUCAAAUUUUGAAUCUGGCGGUCUCCGGCCGUCCGAGUUGUAAUCUAGAGAAGCGUCAUCCGUGCCGGACCGCAUGUAAGUCCCCUGGAACGGGGCGUCAUAGAGGGUGAGAAUCCCGUCUUUAAUGCGGAUCCCGACGCUGUACGAUGCGCUCUCAAAGAGUCGAGUUGUUUGGGAAUGCAGCUCAAAACGGGUGGUAAAUUCCAUCUAAAGCUAAAUACAGGCGAGAGACCGAUAGCGAACAAGUACCGUGAGGGAAAGAUGAAAAGAACUUUGGAAAGAGAGUUAAACAGUACGUGAAAUUGCUGAAAGGGAAACGCUUGAUGUCAGUCGCGUCGUCCGGGGAUCAGCCUUGCUCUUUUGCUCGGUGUAUUUCCUGGUCGACGGGUCAGCAUCGGUUUCGACCGUCGGAAAAUGGCUCGAGGAAUGUGGCACCCUUCGGGGUGUGUUAUAGACUCGGGUCGAAUACGGCGAUUGGGACCGAGGAACUCAGCACGACCUUAGGGUUCGGGGCUUCGGCCCACGUCAACGUGCUUAGGAUGCUGGCAUAAUGGCCUUAAGCGACCCGUCUUGAAACACGG